ACCUUUAGUCCCUUGUCUACACCCUGAAGGUGUAACAUGAGGGAUCCCAUCUGCUAUGGUUUGAAUGUGCGUGCCCGCUCCAAAAUUCAUGCUGAAACUUAAUCCCCAGCGCAACUGUAUCGGAAGGUAGGGCCUUCUGGUGGUGGGGUUGAGUGCUCUGCCCUCAUGAAUGGCAUUAAUGCCUUAUAAAGAGGCUUCACACUGCGUCUGCUCCUUUUUGGCCUUUAACCUUCCUCCACGUAAGGACACAGUGAACAAGGUGCCAUCUUGGAAACAAACAGCAGCCUUCACCAGACACCAGACCUUCUGGCACCUUGACCUUGCGCUUUCCAGCCUCCAGAACCGUGAGAAAUCAAUGUUUAUUGUUUAUAAAUUACCCAAUCUGUGGUAUUUUUUUAAAACAGCAUAAUGGGACUAAGACACCAUCAGAACUUGGGACCAAAAGAAUACUUUUGCCCUCUGAGAGCUGAUUCUUAACACAGAAUAAAAAUGAAGAAUUACUUUAAAGAGAUGGACUACCUCAAGGGACUAGAACUAUUGCCACUGAGGGCAGGUGAAAGUUCAGCCAACUCGGAACCCGGAGGCCCCACCUUACCUCCCUUUGUGAAGAGCCCAGAGCCUUUGUCCAAAGCUGCAUCACUUCCCACCCAGCCCUUCCUGAGCCAACUCCCCGAUGUCUCCAGAAGAACACAGUCGGCAUCAUCGUGAUAACAUCAGGGAAACUCCUAUUUCCAGCAGUUUCUCCUUCAGCUGCAAAAAUGUGCAGCAGUAGACAGGGCGUGGGUUUUUGAAGUCUCUGCAGGAAGUAGAGUUAUUUUCUCAGCACCACAUCUGAGCGCAUCUUCUAAGGGUGGCCGACUGUGUGGGAGCUGCAGGAGCUCAGCCGGGAUGCAGCCCUCCCAUUCCCCACCCUGUCCACUACCACCACGCCUGGAUCCGACAGGCAGGGCAGGACCCCAUGCCACGUGGUAACUGUUAAGGAAAAUGGAGCCAGGUAGGGGGGAUGUCUGAUACCCUUCCUGGUUUUCCUGAGUGUUCUUUGUCUCCCCAACUCCUACUCACAAUAAAUCUGACUACACUUAAACU
Molecule: long non-coding RNA, 1086 nt
Filed under: Homo sapiens (human)
Lineage: Eukaryota; Metazoa; Chordata; Mammalia; Primates; Hominidae
Description: HSALNT0347733
Source: RNAcentral